Molecule: small RNA, 66 nt
Filed under: Arabidopsis thaliana (thale cress)
Lineage: Eukaryota; Viridiplantae; Streptophyta; Magnoliopsida; Brassicales; Brassicaceae
Description: ATSL063320
Source: RNAcentral
CCCUAAUAAGCGUAUUAUAAGUACCACUAUCUGGAAGAGGCCCGUCUUCUUUCAUUUUUCUGAAUA